GAAUGCUGACAUAAGUAACGAUAAAGCGGGUGAAAAGCCCGCUCGCCGGAAGACCAAGGGUUCCUGUCCAACGUUAAUCGGGGCAGGGUGAGUCGACCCCUAAGGCGAGGCCGAAAGGCGUAGUCGAUGGGAAACGGGUUAAUAUUCCCGUACUUGGUGUUACUGCGAAGGGGGGACGGAGAAGGCUAUGUUGGCCGGGCGACGGUUGUCCCGGUUUAAGCGUGUAGGUGUGUGUUCCAGGUAAAUCCGGUUCACUUUAACACUGAGGCGUGACGACGAGGCACUACGGUGCUGAAGCAACAAAUGCCCUGCUUCCAGGAAAAGCCUCUAAGCAUCAGGUAACAUCAAAUCGUACCCCAAACCGACACAGGUGGUCAGGUAGAGAAUACCAAGGCGCUUGAGAGAACUCGGGUGAAGGAACUAGGCAAAAUGGUGCCGUAACUUCGGGAGAAGGCACGCUGACACGUAGGUGAAGUGAUUUACUCAUGGAGCUGAAGUCAGUCGAAGAUACCAGCUGG
Molecule: ribosomal RNA, 518 nt
Filed under: Salmonella enterica
Lineage: Bacteria; Pseudomonadati; Pseudomonadota; Gammaproteobacteria; Enterobacterales; Enterobacteriaceae
Description: partial 23S ribosomal RNA
Rfam family: Bacterial large subunit ribosomal RNA
Source: RNAcentral